AUAGUAAAUUUUAACAUAUUAAUUUGUUAGAGGGUAUAAUAUUUUUUCUAAAAGAUAAUAAAACAAUACCUCCUAGUAAAGAUGGUGUAUAUUCAUACUUCAUUUAACUUUUUUGAAAAACUAACUUUCAUUGAACUAAAAGAAGCAAACGGUAACUCCCUUUUAAAAAAAAGGGUCUUCGUUCGGUUAAAGUUUUGUAAGUCGAUACCAUCCAGGAGUCAGCUCAACUUCAGUGUAGACGAUUUCUUCAGUGCAACUUCUUCAAUCAAGUCUGUGCUGUUCGAAACAAAAUUUACAGCCAAAAAAGAUAAUGACAAUUGUUUGAAUAAAGAACAUCAGAAAACUCAAUAGCGCAGCAACAAACCUGCUGAGAUAAAACUACGUAAGCAAAGUAAAGGAGACCUAUAAAUGGGACAACUUAUUCCAAUCUAGCAUAAUGAAAUCAAAACCAGAAUCGGAGCGGAUCAAUGCCACUUUACGGAAGGAGUGGAGUCCAGAAAGAGUAUUUGUAAAAAUAGUAUUGUUAAUUAAGAAAAAUAUUCCAAAUGUAAAUGUAUAUACUCUUCUUAGAGAAAGUCGGGUGGUGCCCGGCUUAAGAGCAUUGACUGCGGCAACAUGUUUCUCAUCCAUAUUAAAAUUGAAACAAGCUCGACGCAUCGAUGUUCUCACAGACCCAACCACACUGGAAAUAGUAAAUAUAACUAUUGCAGAUAAAGAAUAAGUACAUUAUAAUAUACCUACGUAGUUAAGCAAUAAAAGGUAAGCGCAGCGUUGGACGUCCAUCCUCAAGGUGGACAGACGACAGCUUUAAGGUCGCAGGGAGCUGCUGGAUGCAGGUCGCUUCCCACCAACCUGUCUGGAAGUCAUUGAGGGAGGCCUAUCUUCAGCAGUAUGGCUGAUAUGAUGAUGGAGGAAUAAAAUAAUGUAGGGGAGCUGGGCGAAAUAAUAUAUUUAUAAGAAGUCUAUGCAAUAAGCAAGCUAUGCUGUGGCAAGCUAGUCAGUGGACUACUCCUGUUAUUGAGCGUAAUGUCUAUGGUUUAAGAAUAUUUCUAAAACGUUAUUAAGUUAAUUUUAUUAUUCCGCGUUUGUGUAUGUAAAGUAUGAAAUUAUACACAAUAAAUUUCAAUUAUAA
Long non-coding RNA from Spodoptera litura, 1132 nucleotides. RefSeq lists it as uncharacterized. NCBI's taxonomy places the organism in Eukaryota, Metazoa, Arthropoda, Insecta, Lepidoptera, Noctuidae. The record is from RefSeq and is a predicted model, not a curated record.